CUACGGGUGGCUCCAGUGGGGAAUAUUGGACAAUGGGCGCAAGCCUGAUCCAGCCAUGCCGCGUGAGUGAAGAAGGCCUUAGGGUUGUAAAGCUCUUUUGGCGGGGACGAUAAUGACGGUACCCGCAGAAUAAGCUCCGGCUAACUUCGUGCCAGCAGCCGCGGUAGUACGAAGGGAGCUAGCGUUGUUCGGAAUCACUGGGCGUAAAGCGCACGUAGGCGGAUUUGUAAGUCAGGGGUGAAAUCCCGGGGCUCAACCUCGGAACUGCCUUUGAUACUGCAAGUCUCGAGUCCGGAAGAGGUGGGUGGAAUUCCUAGUGUAGAGGUGAAAUUCGUAGAUAUUAGGAAGAACACCGGUGGCGAAGGCGGCCCACUGGUCCGGUACUGACGCUGAGGUGCGAAAGCGUGGGGAGCAAACAGGAUUAGAUACCCUCGAGUC
Molecule: ribosomal RNA, 438 nt
Filed under: uncultured bacterium
Lineage: Bacteria
Description: partial 16S ribosomal RNA
Rfam family: Bacterial small subunit ribosomal RNA
Source: RNAcentral